GAUGAACGCUGACAGAAUGCUUAACACAUGCAAGUCGAUGGGGAAGUGGUGCUUGCACCAUGGCAACCAUGGCGGACGGGUGAGUAACGCGUAAGGGACUUACCUGCAGGACUGGGAUAACAGGGGGAAACUCCUGACAAGACCGGAUAAUGUCAUGGAGCUGCAUGGCUUUAUGAUGAAAGGAGACGCCUGCAGAGAGCCUUGCGUCCUAUUAGCUAGUUGGUGAGGUAAUGGCUCACCAAGGCGAAGAUAGGUAGCCGGCCUGAGAGGGUGGACGGCCACAAGGGGACUGAGAUACGGCCCUUACUCCUACGGGAGGCAGCAGUGGGGAAUAUUGGACAAUGGGGGCAACCCUGAUCCAGCAAUUCUGUGUGCACGAAGAAGGUUUUCGGAUUGUAAAGUGCUUUCAGCAGGGAAGAAGUAAGUGACGGUACCUGCAGAAGAAGCGACGGCUAAAUACGUG
Molecule: ribosomal RNA, 463 nt
Filed under: uncultured bacterium
Lineage: Bacteria
Description: partial 16S ribosomal RNA
Rfam family: Bacterial small subunit ribosomal RNA
Source: RNAcentral